AGCGAACGCUGGCGGCAGGCUUAACACAUGCAAGUCGAACGCCCCGCAAGGGGAGUGGCAGACGGGUGAGUAACACGUGGGAACGUACCCUUUGGUUCGGAAUAACUUGGGGAAACUCAAGCUCAUACCGGAUAAGCUCUUAUGGGGAAAGGGUUACUGCCGAAGGAUCGGCCCGCGUCUGCUGAGCUAGUUGGUGAGGUAAUGGCUCACCAAGGCGACGAUCAGUCGCUGGUCUGAGAGGAUGAUCAGCCACACUGGGACUGAGACACGGCCCAGACUCCUACGGGAGGCAGCAGUGGGGAAUAUGGGACAAUGGGGGCAACCCUGAUCCAGCCAUGCCGCGUGAGUGAUGAAGGCCUUAGGGUUGUAAAGCUCUUUUACCCGGGACGAUAAUGACUGUACCGGGAGAAUAAGCCCCGGCUAACUUCGUGCCAGCCGCCGCAGUAA
This 447-nucleotide ribosomal RNA is filed under the name uncultured bacterium. RNAcentral describes it as "partial 16S ribosomal RNA". It matches the Rfam family "Bacterial small subunit ribosomal RNA", at positions 29 to 523 of the family's 1533-position model. The record is from RNAcentral.